RNAcentral lists this ribosomal RNA (253 nucleotides) under uncultured bacterium. RNAcentral's name for it is "partial 16S ribosomal RNA". It matches the Rfam family "Bacterial small subunit ribosomal RNA", at positions 524 to 776 of the family's 1533-position model. The record is from RNAcentral.
UACAGAGGUCUCGAGCGUUAGGCGGAAUCACUGGGCUUAAAGCGUGUGUAGGCGGAUUGCUAAGUACCUUGUGAAAUCCCACGGCUUAACCGUGGAACUGCUUGGUAUACUGGCUGUCUUGAGCCACUUAGGGGCAACCGGAACAAACGGUGGAGCGGUGAAAUGCGUAGAUAUCGUUUGGAACGCCAAUGGUGAACACAGGUUGCUGGGAGUGUGCUGACGCUGAGACACGAAAGCCAGGGGAGCAAACGGG